GGGAGGGGGUGACUAGUGACAGAGUGAUGGGGGAAGGGGUGACUAGUGACAGAGUGAGGGAGGUGGUGAUUAGUGACAGAGGGAGGGAUGCGGUGACUAGUGACAGUCACCACCUCCUUCACUCUGUCACUGUCACCCCCUCCCUCACUCUGUCACUGUGUCACCCCCUUCCUCACUCUGUCACUAGUCACCCCUUCCUUCCCUCACUCUGUCACUAGUCACCCCCUCACUC
RNAcentral lists this small RNA (232 nucleotides) under Pelobates cultripes (western spadefoot toad). Lineage: Eukaryota; Metazoa; Chordata; Amphibia; Anura; Pelobatidae. The record is from RNAcentral.